GCGCGAUUAGCUCAAUGGCAGAGCGUUGCUUUCACAUAGCAAAGGCCGCAGGUUCGAUCCCUGCAUCGCGCA
Molecule: transfer RNA, 72 nt
Filed under: Candidatus Liptonbacteria bacterium
Lineage: Bacteria; Candidatus Liptoniibacteriota
Description: tRNA-Val
Rfam family: tRNA
About the family: Transfer RNA (tRNA) molecules are approximately 80 nucleotides in length. Their secondary structure includes four short double-helical elements and three loops (D, anti-codon, and T loops). Further hydrogen bonds mediate the characteristic L-shaped molecular structure. tRNAs have two regions of fundamental functional importance: the anti-codon, which is responsible for specific mRNA codon recognition, and the 3' end, to which the tRNAs corresponding amino acid is attached (by aminoacyl-tRNA synthetases). tRNAs cope with the degeneracy of the genetic code in two manners: having more than one tRNA (with a specific anti-codon) for a particular amino acid; and 'wobble' base-pairing, i.e. permitting non-standard base-pairing at the 3rd anti-codon position.
Source: RNAcentral